RNAcentral lists this small RNA (62 nucleotides) under Nostoc sp. PCC 7120 = FACHB-418. Its description in RNAcentral is "Nostoc sp. PCC 7120 Nitrogen stress-induced RNA 1". It matches the Rfam family "Nitrogen stress-induced RNA 1". Lineage: Bacteria; Bacillati; Cyanobacteriota; Cyanophyceae; Nostocales; Nostocaceae. The record is from Rfam by way of RNAcentral.
CGGUAGAUGCACCUUGAUCUUUAACUCCCCUAGUUGGUUGAUAGCCACUGGGGGUUUUUUCU